Molecule: long non-coding RNA, 154 nt
Organism: Acipenser ruthenus (sterlet)
Lineage: Eukaryota; Metazoa; Chordata; Actinopteri; Acipenseriformes; Acipenseridae
Exons: 3
Source: RefSeq, a predicted model, not a curated record
GCGCAACAUACAGGACCACUCAGAGGGCUGGCCAAUGAAAAACACAAGAGAGGCACAGGACAAAUAUGAUCCCAAAGGCAGUGUGGCGCAACAUACAGGACCACUCAGAGGGCUGGCCAAUGAAAAACACAAGAGAUGCACAGGACAAAUGUGA